Long non-coding RNA from Centropristis striata (black sea bass), 737 nucleotides. RefSeq lists it as uncharacterized. The transcript has 3 exons. Lineage: Eukaryota; Metazoa; Chordata; Actinopteri; Perciformes; Serranidae. The record is from RefSeq and is a predicted model, not a curated record.
GAGAGCUGACGGAGAGAUGGUGUCCUGGUGCACAAAGAGGCAGACAGCGGUCUCAACACCCCUGUCAGACACAAGGACAACAUGAGGACACAUGAGAGCAGACAGACAUGCACUGAACAUGGAUCCAGCCUCAGAAAAAAAAGACCACCCAGAUAUAGAAGACAAACUGUUAUCAAGGGAUCCUGACCCACCUCUUCUUUCUUCAGCUGAGCAGUCUUCUGGUUGCGUUCCAUGAUGCGUGAGCGGGCCAUAGCUGCCUCCUCAUAGCUGAUGCGUCCCUCCAGACGCCUGCGCUCAAUCUUGGCCAGCUCGUCCUGAAGGUCCUUCUCACGCAUCUCCUUCUGCCACUGGAGGAAAGACGAGGGAUCACGUGCCCCCUCCACCAGACGCUCCAUUCUGUGGCACAAAUAUAAAAGAAGUGACUCUUGUUCAUGGACAGAUUGUGAGACAACAGGCCACUUGACAUAAAGGCCCCACCAUCUUUCCUACAUAUGUUAAAGUUAUAUAUUGUUUGCAGUUGUUUUGCCCCUUUUCUGUAGUCAUUUUGAUCUCAGUCUCAGUCUACAGUCUUCUUUUUUAAAAAGAGAUUAAAAACCAAUCUUUUUUCAACAGCAUUCGGUUGAACUCUGUACGUGUGGUUGUGGGAGUGGGUGCACAUGUGUGAGUAAGUAAGUGUGUAUGUGGUGAAUAUGGCAUAGCUUGUCUACCUGCACUCUUCAAUUAAUUUGUAAUUGUUU